CGUGCCGCGCUCGGACGCGCGGUCUUGGCCGAGCGGCGGCACCCGGGUCGCGCUCUGGACCAACGGGGUCUGCCGUCUGGCGCUGCGCCAAGUGCUUUGAUCCGCGCUGAUGUCAAGUGGGUGUGGGCUCUUAGGGAAGGCCGGGCGAGGACGAGGAGGGAGCGAGAUGCGCCGCGGGCGCGCUGAGGCCCCAGCGCGCUCCGCCGCCCCGCGCUGCUGACCGGUAGCCGGCCCCGGCUCCCGGAGCGGGCUCAUGGAGCCGCGGCGCUGCCCGUCCGGGGACGCGUGCCCCGCCGCCCUGGGGGGCUGGAGGGGGCCGCCGCGGGGGCCCUGCAGCCAUAAUCAGCAGACCACCGCCUUCAGGCAUCCUGUGAGUGGGCAGUUUUCUCCAGAAAAUAGCGAAUUUAUUCUUCAAGAAGAGCCAAAUCCACAUAUGUCGAAGCAAGAGAGAAACCAAAGACCGUCCAGCAUGGUCAGUGAAACGUCCACGGCCGGGACCACUUCUACCGUGGAGGCCAAGCCUGGCCCCAAGAUCAUAAAGUCCAGCAGUAAAGUCCACAGCUUUGGGAAGAGGGACCAAGCCAUUCGGAGGAACCCCAAUGUUCCGGUGGUGGUGAGGGGCUGGUUGCACAAGCAGGACAGUUCUGGGAUGAGGCUGUGGAAAAGGAGGUGGUUUGUGCUGGCUGAUUAUUGCUUGUUUUACUAUAAAGACAGCCGAGAAGAAGUGGUCCUUGGGAGCAUCCCUCUGCCCAGCUAUGUGAUCUCAACAGUGGCCCCCGAGGAUCGCAUAAGUCGCAAGUAUUCCUUUAAGGCCGUUCACAUGGGGAUGCGAGCACUCAUCUAUAAUAGCUCCACCCGGGGCUCUCAGGCCGAGCAGUCGGGCAUGAGGACCUACUACUUCAGUGCCGACACCCAGGAGGACAUGAACGCUUGGGUCAGGGCCAUGAACCAGGCUGCACAGGUGCUAUCUCGAUCGUCACUGAAGAGGGACAUGGAGAAGGUGGAGCGACAGGCGGUCCCCCAGGCCAACCACACAGAGUCCUGUCGAGAAUGUGGCCGCAUGGGACCCGGACAUGCAAGGGAUUGUUCUCAUCGCAACCACGAGGAUUCCUUUGGAUUCGAGAGGCGGGAGCAGGAGGAAGACCGGUACUGCUCCCAGAGGGACCCACUGGAGGGCAAGCGGGACAGGAGCAAGGCCAGGUCCCCAUACUCGCCAGCCGAAGAGGAUGCCUUGUUCGUGGAUUUACCCAGUGGCCCGAGAGGCCAGCAGGCUCAGCCCCAAAGGGCAGAGAGGAACGGUGUGCUGCCUGGCACAUCUGGCCCAGGAGAGCAGAACGGGACUGGCGGGUACCAGCGGGCCUUUCCUUCCAGGACCAACCCUGAGAAGCACAGCCAGAGGAAGAGCAGCCUGGCGCACGUGGAGCAGUGGGCAAAGGCCCAGAAGGCGGACGGCAGGAGCCUGACCCUGGACCAGACCCUUCCUCGCCAGGGUCCCAGCCAAUCCCUGUCCUUCCCAGAAAACUACCAGACUCUUCCCAAGAGCAGCCGACACCCGUCAGGGGGCUCUUCACCCCCUCCCCGCAACCUGCCGAGUGACUACAAGUAUGCGCAGGACCGAGCCAGCCACCUGAAGAUGUCGAGUGAGGAGCGCCGGGCACACCGGGACGGCACCGUGUGGCAGCUCUACGAGUGGCAGCAGCGCCAGCAGUUCCGGCAUGGUAGCCCCACGGCGCCCAUCUGUGCGGGCUCCCCAGAGUUCACCGACCAGGGCCGGAGCAGGAGCAUGUUAGAGGUGCCCCGCUCCAUCUCUGUGCCUCCAUCUCCCUCGGACAUCCCUCCCCCAGGGCCCCUGAGGGCCUUCCCACCCCGGCGGCCACACACGCCAGCAGAGAGGGUCACUGUGAAGCCACCGGACCAGAGGAGGAGUGUGGACAUCUCGCUGGGCGGUUCUCCCAGGAAGGCAUGGGGCCACACCACCAAGAACUCCUCUCAUGUGGACCGACGCUCCAUGCCCUCCAUGGGUUACAUGACCCACACUGUCAGUGCUCCCAGUUUACAUGGAAAAUCGGCUGACGAUACCUACCUCCAGCUGAAGAAAGACCUGGAGUACCUGGACCUAAAGAUGACAGGCCGGGAUCUUCUCAAGGACCGAAGUCUGAAGCCAGUGAAGAUUGCCGAGAGUGACAUUGACGUUAAACUGAGCGUCUUCUGUGAACAAGACAGGAUCCUCCAGGACUUGGAAGACAAGAUACGAGCCCUUAAGGAGAACAAAGAUCAGCUGGAAUCCGUGCUGGAGGUGUUGCACAGACAGAUGGAGCAGCACCGAGACCAGCCCCAGCACCUGGAGAAGAUUGCCUACCAGCAGAGGCUGCUGCAGGAGGACCUUGUCCACAUCCGGGCAGAGCUCUCCAGAGAGUCCACUGAGAUGGAAAAUGCCUGGAAUGAAUACCUGAAGUUAGAGAGAGAUGUGGAGCAGCUGAAGCAGACCCUGCAGGAGCAACACAGAAGAGCCUUUUUUUUCCAGGAGAAAUCGCAGAUACAGAAGGAUCUCUGGAGGAUCGAAGAUGUCAUUGCAGGCCUGAGUGCAAAUAAAGAGAACUUCAGAAUCCUGGUGGAAUCGGUCAAAAAUCCGGAGAGAAAAACAGUGCCUUUGCUUCCUCAUCCGCCUGUGCCUUCAAUCUCCUCUUCUGAGAGCAAGCCGCCCCUGCAGCCCAGCCCGCCCACCAGCCCCAUGCGGACCCCUCUGGAGGUUCGACUCUUCCCCCAGGUGCAAACCUACGUGCCGUACCGACCUCACCCACCCCAGCUGAGGAAGGUGAUGUCUCCCCUUCAGUCACCAACCAAGACGAAGCCCAAAGUUGAAGACGAGGCACCUCCCAGGCCCCCGCUCCCUGAGCUCUACAGCCCGGAGGACCAGCCCCCGGCCGUGCCACCUCUACCGAGGGAGGCCACCAUCAUCCGGCACACUUCAGUGAGGGGCCUCAAGCGGCAGUCGGACGAGAGGAAGCGAGACCGGGAGCAGGGGCAGUGUGUGAACGGGGACUCGAGGGUGGAACUCCGGUCAUACGUCAGUGAGCCUGAGCUGGCGACCUUCAGUGGGGACAUGGCCCCUCCCUCCCUGGGACUCGUGGGCUCUGAGAGCAGGUACCAGACGUUGCCAGGCAGAGGGCUCUCGGGGUCCACGUCAAGGCUCCAGCAGUCGUCCACCAUUGCUCCCUAUGUCACGCUUCAGAGGGGUCUAGAUGCCGAAAGCAGCAAGGUGACCUACCCUAGACCCAGGAGUGCCUUGGAGCGCCUGUACUCAGGGGACCACCAGCGGGGCAAGAUGAGCGCGGAGGAGCAGCUCGAGCGCAUGAAGCGGCACCAGAAGGCGCUGGUCCGGGAGCGCAAGAGGACGCUGAGCCAAGGAGAGAGGACGGGUCUGCCCUCGUCCCGCUACCUCAGCCAACCACUCCCUGGAGAUCUCGGCUCAUGGAAGCGCGAGCAGGACUUUGACCUGCAGCUGCUGGAACGGGCCGUACAAGGGGACAGAAAGGACAAGGAGGAGAAUGGCUGGCUGAAGGUGCAGGCUAUGCCUGUCACUGAGUUGGACCUGGAACCACAAGACUAUGACGUGGACAUCAGCAGAGAGCUCUCCAAACCAGAGAAGGUCUCCAUCCCCGAGCGUUACGUGGAGCUGGAUCCUGAAGAGCCGCCCAGCCUGGAGGAGCUGCAGGCGCGGUACCGCAAAGCCGAGAAGAUCCGGAACAUCCUUGCCCGGUCCAGCAUGUGCAACCUGCAGCCAGUGUCCGGCCAGGACCGGGACAGCGUGGCCAGCCUGGGCUCGCAGCUGCAGGAGCAGGAGCGCAUCAUCAACAUCUCCUACGCCCUGGCCUCCGAGGCCUCGCAGCGCAGCAAGCAGGUGGCAGCGCAGCAGCUGGCCCUCCUCCCGCCUAAAGCCCCCCUGUCCUCCAGGACGGUGCCACCUUACCCCCCCUUAAGCAACGGACUCCACUACACCUUUGUCUAACACCUUCCAAGUAAGAGCCCCCUCCUGGCGUGGCCCCUCACCUGGCGCUGAGCAUGUCCCCUCCCCUCUGCUGCUGAGAUGAUUGCAGUGCCACCUGCUGACGCUUCCUUCCAUGGGCAAAGCGGCCGCUGGGGAGACCCCUCCUGGACUGGUAGGCAGGUGGGGGGCUGAUGAUUUUUAGGAACUCAACGUUCAGCGGCUCCGAUACAGUAGAGACUGUGUGAUCCAAGCCCCCUGGCUCCCUGAAAUCUCAGGAGCUAGAGCUGCGCCCCUUCCCACCCCGCUGUCCUUCCUGCAGGCAGCCCAGUGCCCCAGGGGACCAGGGCAGGCCAGACGGCGGGCUUGGGAAGCGGGGGCGGUGGCUGGGAAGGAAGAAUUAGAUCAUGGCCUCUCCCCGUCAGGGCUUUGGCCAAAGAAAUUGAAGAACCGGAAGCCUAGAAAAACCAGUUUUGCAGAUGAGGACAUGGGCCCUGUGAGGGAUGGGGGCUCAUUCCAGUCACAAGGGAAGCUUCAGGAGGAGGCUGCCCGGUGUGAUGGCCCUCACCCCUGCAGAACAUUCCAGCACCACCCCUUCUGAGUCCUCCCCACGUGGGCAUUUAUGGUGAGAGGAGGCAGCGUGGGAGUAGGGAGGGAGUGCUGGACCAGGAGUCGGGAGGCCGGGGCCAAGUCCAGGCUGUUGUCCUGAGUUCUUGGCUGUUGCCUCACCUGGACGGGGAGGGCGUAUCAGGAGUCUCAGCAGCCCUUUCCCUGACGUUCCACUUCGUACGACUGUGUAGGGCUUCCCCUCUCAUCCCUCUAUACGCACUUAUGGUUAACGUUGCUGAGCGCCUACUCCGUGCCAGGCAUUGCGCUGAUCAUCUCCUUUGACAACAACCCAAUGGAGAUAUUCACCCCAUUUUACAGAUGAGGAAGCGCAGCUCAGAGAUCCUGAGGGACUUGCCCAAGGAGUUGCGGCUGUGUCAGAGCCAGGGUUCGAACCCCUUCUGUGCGAGUUCAGAGCCUCUGUUCUCCAUCGCCACCCUGGGCCCACCUGGGCCACCUCCAUUGGCCCACCUGGGCCACCCCCGGGGGCUCUAGAUGUUUGGAGAAGGGAGUGCAGUGAGGGAUGGCGGUGUGUGGUUGGGAUGGAGACAUGGUCUUGGGCAAGUGUCCACCCGCCCGGGCGCUUCACUGUCCUGAGGGUGGCAGGAGGAGGUCGGCCUGUUGGGCCAGGCUCUCAGGAGGUGUGCAGUAGGGACCCCGUGACUGAGGAACCCCAGGGAAUGCUCCAGCCAGGUCUUUUGUAAAGGCUGCAGGAUCUUCUGGGGCCACGGGAGUGUGUAUGGUUUUCUCCUGGAGAUCCGAGUGUGGUGACGCCACCCCAGGCCACAGAGAGGCAGAGGAGAGGCUCUGUUCCUCUCUGCUUUUGGUGCCCCUGUGGUCAUGAGAUAGGCCUCUAAUGCUCUUUUCAGAGCACACACACAUUUCUUUGUACCCUUCCAGCACCCUCAUUAGGAAAUUGGUACAGUCACCCUGUUUUUAGAUUAAGAAAACGAGGCCCAUGAAGGCUGAGAGAGUUACCCAGAGUCCCUCAGCAAAUGAAGGGCAGGGCCAGAACUGGACCCCAGAGUCCUCUUUGCUCAGGCCUUCUGCCCUAUCAGAGCAGGGACCCAGUCUAGGGGCCAGCAUGUGUCUGGCAAAUUUCCUAGAAGUGGUGAGGGUGGAGGAAAGGUGGGACGCCCAUUUGUCCUCGAAGCCGAGGGUCCCCCGGCAGCGGCCGCAUUGCCCCAGCCCCCUGCUCUGCUGUUCUCUGUCUUGUCAGCCUGCCAUUCCCUGUCACAUGUGCACAGACACGCCCACCGCCUGCUCCCCAGACGUGGGCUGGGGUCCUGCCAGCCUCUCAUUGUCUCCUGUGCUUUUUGCCAGCCCAGGCAGUGACUGACCCGUGAUCCAGCGUGCAGAGAAGUCUGGAGCCAGGGGCCAGUGGAACCAGUUUCCUCCGAGAAGAUUGAUCCUUCUUCCCCUUCCAGCUGAGCCGGGGUUCAGGCUGGAGGACAGAGCACCACCAGCUGUGGGGCAUUUACCACAGGGCUAGGGCCUAACACCCACACUUGUUUUAGUUCAGACUCCUUUUUACAUGUGACAAAGGCACUUUUAAUACACACUGUAAAAUACUGACUCUGUAUUUUAGAAUCAGGCUAUAUUUUAUAAUGUUCACCUCAAGGGCUGAGUGGCUGAGAAGGUGAGGAUGCAGGAUUUUGGAGCUGCACAUACAGAUUCAGUGUCAGCUCUGGAUCCUGCGGUGUUCACCUAUGAAGUCUCUCCUGAUGACAGUUCCGUGACACUUGAUUGACUCUGGAGGCCUGAGGGAGGAAGGCCUGCGCACUUGGGCCUUUGGCUGGGCCUCAGCAGCCGCUCAGGACGGCCCCCUCAGCUGGGCUGGGGGCCGCCGGGCUGUGGACUCCUGUGCAGGGCUGGUUUGGCAGGCGGUCUGCAAUCCCAGACAAAGGGAGGGACUCCGCAGGCCCUCUUCCAGCCCACAUGCCUCCGGAUCGCUCCAAUGAGGCGGCCGGGAGGAGGGGUAGCCUGUUCAGUAAGAAUCGUGGCCCAAAUUUCAAACAGAGAGCGUGACAGGCCCUCACCUCAGACUUCACGAAGAGCACACGUGAUCUGGAAGAGGCACCCUCCGGCUAUGUCACGUGUGAGCAGGCACAUGGCCCGGCCCCCUUCUCCGCCCCCUGGAGAGGACUUGUUACCUGAGCUCCUGGAUGUCGUCAAGCCAUGAAGCCACUGCCUGCGCCCCAGGGGACCGUCCCUGCCCAGCUCACAGCCCUCUCCCGGCGCUGCAGACCCUCGAAGUGCCUGAUGAGUGUUUCUCACUGCGAGUCCUCCCUGGCCAAGCCCAGGCUGCAGUCUGCACGCACCCACUGAAGCAUUUAAGAGCCAGUGCAGUCGCCCCAGCUUUCUCUUCCCCUGUAGUGGACACCUGGGAGCCACAUAUUCUGGAUGGAGUAACCACAGGAUGCAAGCCGACUGGUCCUAAAUCUCCACUUGGAAGGGGACUACCGAGCAGAGGCCCCGAGGCCCAUGGCUCACUUCGCAUGAGUGAGAAAUAAACUUUGAUGUAUUCAUCCCCUGGGAUUUUAGGCUUUAUUUUCUACUGUUGCAUAAUCUAGCCUACCCAGGUUGUAGGUAUCAUCAUCCCCGUACUACAUAUGAGAAAACUGAGGCAUGAUGGUUCCGUGACUAGUCAGAGACUGAGUUGAAGCUGGAGCUUGUAUCUGACUCCAGAGAGCCUUUAAGCACUGCAUUGGCUGCUGUUACCCUGAGAA
Molecule: RNA transcript, 7320 nt
Organism: Eubalaena glacialis (North Atlantic right whale)
Lineage: Eukaryota; Metazoa; Chordata; Mammalia; Artiodactyla; Balaenidae
Gene: PLEKHA7
Gene name: pleckstrin homology domain containing A7
Exons: 29
Source: RefSeq, a predicted model, not a curated record